This 500-nucleotide ribosomal RNA is filed under the name uncultured bacterium. RNAcentral describes it as "partial 16S ribosomal RNA". It matches the Rfam family "Bacterial small subunit ribosomal RNA", at positions 30 to 523 of the family's 1533-position model. The record is from RNAcentral.
AUUGAACGCUGGCGGCAUGCCUUACACAUGCAAGUCGAACGGCAGCGGGGACUUCGGUCCGCCGGCGAGUGGCGAACGGGUGAGUCAUGUAUCGGAACGUACCAUUGAGUGGGGGAUAACUAUACGAAAGGAUAGCUAAUACCGCAUAUUCUCUCCGGAGGAAAGCAGGGGACCUCAAGGCCUUGAGCUCCUGGAGCGACCGAUAGCAGAUUAGCUAGGUGGUGGGGUAAAAGCUCACCAAGGCGACGAUGUGUAGCGGGUGUGAGAGGAUGAUCCGCCACACUGGAACUGAGACACGGUCCAGACUCCUACGGGAGGCAGCAGUGGGGAAUUUUGGACAAUGGGGGCAACCCUGAUCCGGCUAUGCCGCGUGAGUGAAGAAGGCCUUCGGGUUGUAAAGCUCUUUCGGCCGGGAAAAAAUCGCAUGGGCUAAUAUCCUGUGUGGAUGAUGGUACCGGAAUAAGAAGCACCGGCUAACUACGUGCCAGCCGCCGCAGUAA